AAUCUCUUAGUCCCACAUCGAUUGAGUCUUCAAGCCCUAGAAUUUGGGAGUUCAAUAUAAAGAACCCCAAUUUCUACCAUUUGGCACACAAACAUUAACAGAUAUACUUGUCAUUCUCACGUAGAACCCUUUUUUUGGUUUUACACUGCUUACACGGGCAUAAGUAGGGUUUGAUUUGCUCAAUACUCUUUUUAGUUCAAAUAUUUAUUCGUAUUUUCUGAGAUCUUUGUGAUUUCAUUGCAUGGGUUGUGGCUGUGAGGCGUGGAGGAGAAGAAAGCUUCCAAUACUCCAUUCUUGAUCUCGCCUAUCAGUACAAAAGGUAAACUUUCCUUCUUUAGGUUUAAUUUUGUUGUUGUUUAGUGUUUUCCAUGGUUGUAUGCAUUCAUAUGUAGCUAGAUUAGCCUGUAAUUAGUCAUUAGUAGUCUGUUUUCUUUGGUUUAAUGUAUAACAUUAAGUGUUAGUUGAUGAUUGUGUGGUUCAGUUUAGUUUCAAUCCAGUAGUAAAUCAAUUUUGCUAGGUUUGACUUGUCAUUAAGCAUGUUUUAGUUUAAGAAUUUACAUAGAUUCAACAAUACUGAAUAUUACUUAAUCAUGAUUAGCCUGACAGUCCUAUAUGUGCUUAAAAUGUUAGAAGGAACUAGUUUCAUCAUUUAUUUGUUACUAAAACAAUAUUGUGUUAACAGGAUUUUCCUAUUUAGCUAAGUCUGUUGUUUGCUUACUUGAUCUUACUUCUUUUGCUACGCCUGUUGCUGGCUCCUUACUGUGACCUAGGUUUCAUACUUACUCAUGUUUAGUUAUGUGGUUGUGGAUUAACUUUUUUAUGCCUAUCAUGUAUCUGCUCUAGGUGAUUUCCUAUCAAAUAUAAGCUUAAGUUGUAUGCUUUAAUACUUGUCUAGCCCAGUUUACACUCCUCAUAUGCUCACUUCAAAUAAAUUAGACCUGAUAUGGCCUUGACCUGGUUGUGAGAGACUUCCUAGCUUUUGUGGCUCAUCAUGAGAUGGUUCGUAUGCUCAUUUAGCUUCCCCCCUGUCCCUGAAUGUGUACAUAUGGGUUGACAGUGGCAUGAAAUAAGCUAUGCAUGCCUCCGGAUCCCUGUUUUGUUUAUUUAAGUAUAAGAGGCCAAUUUGUAUGCCCUGUUGUGCCUUUGCCUGGAUCAUAUAUGUUUCUUGCUUAUGUUAACUGAUGUAUGUCUUGUUUUGAGUGUCUGUAUGAUUAAAUCUUAUAAGAAUCUAACCUGUUUGAAUUAAUACUUAAAUGAGUGACACGAUCUUAACUUGUUAACUAGUAACCUACUCUGUUUAGGCUGUUAUCUGAAUAUAUGUUUAUAAAGGAUAUACAAGUCUAUUUCACCUGCUUAAAUAUCAUUUUUGUGCAACUUGACCAUCCUCUUCCCUUAACCCCUUUUGCAUAUCCUUCAAAGUUAGAUGUCUAAGUCAUACUGCAUGUUUGCAAGUCUGUUUGGUUCUGAGGAAUAUUUUACACCUUUGUCAGAUCUCAAUACGCAUAUAUAUGUUUUUCCAUGCCUAGUUGGUAUCUGUUACUGCACUGUCAUGUUAGAGUUCUUGGCAAUUUGCACCCCUAAUGUAUACACCUUUUUUUGAUUUACACCCUAUCCUUUUAUUUUUUACAAGUUGCUCCUUUAUGUAUUCAUCCUUUUGCAAAAUCAUAAAACAACUCAUUACUGAAGGGCUAAAACAGGAAUAAUAUAUUUUUAACGACAUCAAUGUUAUAAGCUUGAUUCCAAAUCUUCUAUGGAUAGAUUGAGAUGGUAUUUUGAGUAAACUAAAUGAAUCAGAAAUUUAGCUUCGAAUGUGCAACAAGAACAACUAUAAUAAGAACUUUGAUACAAUGUUUUUAUUACCAUAAGCUUCAGGAAGAGCUAUCCUCUGAAACAAAAAACUUGGAAGUCUUGAAAUAUAAAAGGAAAAAAUUUAUGUCUGGAAGGCCGAUUACAUUAAGCUGCCCUCAUUGUUGACGACAUCAACUCAAUUUUUUGUUAUAUUUCCAAAUAGUAUUAGCAACACGUAUACUCAAAGUUUGAACUCGGAUCUUGGAAAUAGAAUUUCAAGAAUAAACGAUUUGCUUAUGUACAAGAAGAUUAGUCACAGUAUUCAGAUUUUCUAGACAAAGCAUGUUGAUGCCUUCUUAAGCACUGUUAGUUCACUAUUUUUAAAGGAAAACGAUAUCAAAACAGAAAAACAAGAAUAGAAAAGUAGUUGAUGAGAAAUUUAUAUUGAUUAGGAAAAAAAGAUAUAUAGUGCUCAACACUAAAACUACAGUGACCAUAAUCUACCGUAUUAUUUACCAUUGCAAAUUACUUCCUCUGUCCCAAUUUAUGUGGCACCAUUUCUUUUUUGGUCUAUCCCAAAAAGAAUGUCACAUUUCUUUAUUUCGAAACUAUUUAACUUUAUGAGAUGAUUUACCGCCACAAAUUUAUAUAAGGCUUAUUUUGAAUCACACAUUUCAAAAGUCUUCUUUUGUGCCAAGUCAAAUGGUGUCGAUGUAACUCUACCUGUCACAAGAAGGUAUAUGAAAACUCACCAGACGCCAAGAAUAGAAACGCAUAAAUGAAUAGAUUACUCUAUCUGAGCAAGAUUAAAGCGUAGAAUCAUUCAAGAAUAUAUCAAAUUUAUAAUCACACAUCAACAUCUAAGUUGUCGAGGAAAAGUGUACCGAUAUUAAAAACACUCAUAACUACUGAAUAAUUUUGAAAAAGAUAAAUUGAUAUAAGUAAAAAUAUACUCUUCCUGUUUUACCCAUUUAAGAUUGAGUUGUUCUAUGAUUUCGCAGAAGGAUGAAUACAUUAGGGAGCAAAUUGUAAAGAAUAAGAGGAUAGGGUGCAAAUAAAAACAAAAAGUAUACAUUAGGGGUGCAAAGUGCCAAGUAUUUUAAAUGAGGCUGGUGGUCUGAAAUAGUAAGAAUGUAAUAUGAAAUAAGACUAUAUCUGAGCAUGCUAAGUUGAUUUGAUAAAGUUUAUGUAGGGUUGAAGUAAAUGAAUAUUUGAACAUCGUAAGAGAAGGUUUAAGAGGUAGUCACUUGGGAAUGACAAGGCAAGGAUGCGUCUUACCAAGGGCUAGGGAGAAGCAAGGAAAGGCUUUGAGUUUAUCAAACUCAGCUCAGUACUACUAAUCCUAGGCUGCUGGGGUUUCUCCAUAUUGAAUCAUGCCUCAUGGAACCCUCCAACAUAUCAGUUGAAGAGAGAAAAGGACCCUAUAUAAAAACUAAUUUAUUGAGUGGAAAAUAAGAAUUAUACCUGCUUGUUUCCAUGUCCUUCUUGGUAUUCUCUAUAUGCAUUUUGUGCUUGCUGAUCUGGAUAUUACAAAAGGUCACUUAAUCACUUAAAUAAAAAGGAAAAGAUCUGAUAGUAUGUUUCUUGUAUUGUGCUGGGCUAUUGCGCUAUUCAAUAUAGAUUUUAAUUCUUAAUGCCUCCUCUGUGUGCUCAUAUACUAAAUGCUCAAUUAAGGUGUGUGCACAUCUUUACUAUAUGAAGCCUAUCUCUUAUACCCAUCCUUGGUAUGUUUGUGCUUUUCUCAUGAGCAUUUCCUUUCUUUUAGACUCUGAGUAUGACAGUCAGUAAAUAGGUGGAGUAAUAUACCAUGCUAUGUGCUUAUGCUGAUAACUUCGAUCCUUAUGUAUGAAAGUAAGUUUCAAUGUUGAUAAAGAUGUUGUGUCUUGACUAAUUAAAUGGCAUUCUCCCCACCCUUUUUGCUAUUUAUCUCUUGUGUCUUCCCUGUUGUAUAGGCUAUAUGGAACCAUGCUCAUAUGAGUUUUAAGAGAAGUAUUCCUUUACUGCAUUCAUCAUUAGUAUAGUGUGAACACUGUUGGGUUUUGAGGCUUUAAGUAAGAAAUUUAUGAAUGCUACUGGAUAUUGAAAAAUCAUGUUAAAAGUGAGCCACAUGUAUGGGGCUAUUGUUAUGUAUCAUUUGCUGUAUUGAGAGUAUUCUUAAAUCCCUUUCCAUGAGUGUAUGGGUCAAAUAGGUGUCAAGUAUAUCAUAUCAUGUGCAUAUUCAUUAUACUUGAUAUAGACUUGAGGUGGCAUUCUUUUGCUUUGCUUCUUCUUUUCCUAUUUUUGUGCUACCGCUGUGGGAUAUACAAAGGAUAUACGAGGUAUAUACAGUCUGCAAAUAUUUUUAGUAUAUAUGAUAUGGUAUAUUGAUAGGAUAUCAUCACGAUUUGACUUAAGUAUGGUGCUAUGAUAGUAAUUUGGGCCUUUCUCUUGUAUUUGAUUUCCUUUAUUUGCUGAAUUGGGCCUCUCCUUCAUGGCCAUCUGCACAUUAUUUAUCUUGGGCUUUUGUUUCUUUAUAAUUAUCAUCUUUGGCCGAUUUUUGUUUUCCUCAAAUUUCUUUUCUGUUUUGGGCUCUCCAAUUUUCGCUUGUUUAUUUGCUAAGUGUAGUGAAUUUACUUGGUAUACAAAUACGUAUACAUGUUUGUACUUCUGUUUUAAGCUCUUGUUGGUUUAUUUACUAAGCCUAGGUACUUUCUAACCGCAUUUCCCCUUCUCCCCCCUCCUUUGUUUUGCAUGGGAAUCCAUUUGGGCCAUUCAGGCAUUUCUGUUGAACCACUGUUAGGCCGAGGGCCCAACACUUCCCUUCUAUCGAGUCUGAGAUAUAAAAUUGAUUGAAGGCCCAACCAUAGGUGAAAAAGGUGACUACUGGGCUUAGGUAUUUAGAAGUGGAAUUGCAUGAAACUUGAUUAAAAACAAGGAAUUUUGAAGACAAGGCACUGUAUUGCAUUUGAAUGGACCGUUAACAUGCUCGACGGUUCGUCAAGUUGGUCAUCGAAUAGCAUUGAGUGAAAUAUCAGAGACUGCUAUAUUUUGAUGUAAAACAACAGGUAGGUCAACGGACCGUCAAUACGAUCGACGUUCUGUUGAUGUACAAUGACGGUGGAGUUUCUGCAGCCUGAAAAAUGUCAUUAGAUUAUCGAAGUGCAUCGUCGACAUUCGACGGUAUCGUCAAUGUGCAACGUCGGUCUGUUGAGUUGCAAGCCAACCUGGAACUGGAUUAGGAUUAAUUAUUACGAGUUUAGCUUGUAUAAAUACCUGUUUAGGUUUUAUUUUUCAGACAUCUGGAAUCUUAGGCUUGUAGUAAUUACUUUUGGGUUUUUAGUACAAUUGAAGAUUUCCAGACAAUUACAUUCGUUUACUUUCAAGUUUUAUUCGUAAGUUCAAUACAAAAUUCAAUUAUGCAA
Molecule: long non-coding RNA, 5189 nt
Organism: Lycium ferocissimum
Lineage: Eukaryota; Viridiplantae; Streptophyta; Magnoliopsida; Solanales; Solanaceae
Exons: 2
Source: RefSeq, a predicted model, not a curated record